Molecule: long non-coding RNA, 3971 nt
Filed under: Salvia miltiorrhiza (redroot sage)
Lineage: Eukaryota; Viridiplantae; Streptophyta; Magnoliopsida; Lamiales; Lamiaceae
Description: long non-coding RNA (SMIL_LNC005214)
Source: RNAcentral
UGAUCCAAACCUAAUGCCACAUGAUAAUAAUGACAUAAAAAAUGAGAUCUUACGAGUCUUUCACGUAGGGCUAUUGUGUAGCCAAGAAGUGCCGUCGCGGCGGCCAUCCAUGUCCACGGCGUUGACGAUGCUGAUCGGGAAACAACACCUCCCAACACCGACGAGCCCUCCAUUCGUGGACGAGAUAACUAUGCAGCUAGAGGAGGAGGACCCGAGUCGGGGCACAUCGCCAAUGCUCGGUUAUAGCAAUGCCACUAUAUCUCGGAGCAUUUUUCUUCCGAGAUAGUAGUGCACAAUGUAUGCUAAAGAUUUCACCUCACUAAAAAAUAAUUAAUUAUUUGUUUUUUUUUAGAUGGGGUUCAGCCUACCUCGGGUAUGCCAUUAAUGCUAAUGACAUUGUGUUAUCGAGAGUUAAAACUAGAGAAGCAAAUCAUUUGGUAGUAAUAUUCGUAAAUACUUCCUUCAUCCCACUGUAUCUGAGACUCUUUCAAUUUUGGGCGUUCCACUGUAAGUGAGACUCUUUCCUUUUUGGGUAAAAGUUUUUCCCUUUAAACACCUUUUCACUUUUUCACCGACACAUAAAAUACACUUUUUUUAAUUCCCGUGCCCAAAAAAGGUCUCACUUACAGUGGGACGGAAGGAGUAAUUACAACUAAUCUUUUAUGUACUUUAAUAAAAGAGACUUGUUUUUAUAAAAAAUAUGUUGCUUGUUAUGUUAUUAUGUUUUAAUCUAAUUCAAGGACAACAAUGUAAUAUCAUAUUUUUAUUAAAAUAAAUUGCAAAAAAGCAAUUAAAAUUGUGUGUAAACACGCACCACCCAUCGUCCAGCAUUGCAUCAGGGGUGCACCAGUGCGGCAGUAUGCGACCGCCUCCGGCGCGCCCUAUCGAAUCAGCUCGGCCACCCCCAAUUGGAGGUGCUCUAAGAGUUGAAAUUCAAAACUUGCAACCCCAAACCAAAAACAAAAUUUUAAUUUUCCACAAUUUUAAAUUAAAAUUCAUCUAAAUUAAAUUUGACUUGACAAUAUGAUGGUUGAAUAAACUUAAAGUUAAGCAAUCUUUACAUUCCAAUGUCCCAGUCAUCCAAGGUCAGCUCUUCCAAGUCACCCAUAGUUUGUUUUUUCCCUUCGUAUUGUUACAUUUUAUAAUUUUAAAAUUUAUUUUAUAAAAUUACCUCAUCAUAUUUAGAAAAAAAAAUUCCAUAAUUAAUUAGAGUCAUCUAAAUCUAAGAGCAUCUCCAGCGCUCGUUGCGAGCUCUGGAUCGACGCGGGACGAGGAGGCGGCGUGCGCGCUGGCGACCAGGGCAGAUGCGAGGCGGCGUCGAAGGCAAGACCCGGGGAGAGCGGCAAAGGCGUAUGGCGCGUCCUUCGGACGCGUCCAAUUUAAAAAAAAAAAUAUCGAAAAUCGUUAUUUUUUAAAAAACUUAGACCGUUGGAUAUUUAAAAAAAAAAAAAUUAACGACCGUUCCAAGCAACGGCUAUUUUGAUUUUUUUUUUCCCCUUCUAUAAAUACCACUCUUCCACUCUUUCAAAUUCACCAAUAUCUUCAACUACAAUUCUCUCUUCUACAUUUUCAAAGAUGGAUCGUGAAUUCGAUGAAUACCUCGAGCAACAAGGCGGAUCGAGGCUUCCAAUGAUGGGGUUUGCUCCAUUUUCACAAGCUUCCAAUGUCUUGGCUACGGGAAAUGUUCCCACGCCGGCGGCGAACGCCAACGUCCAAGAAGAGCCGGAGGAGGUGAAGCCGAAAGCCAAGGGCACCCGNCAAUCCUAAUUGAAUUCUUAGAUCCGUCCCUGCUUUUCUUGAUUUUUCGAUCAAUGUGGUGCUUUGUUUCAUAGAUUCAAACAGAAGUGAAGCAUUGAAUUGGGAGAAGAGAUUGCAAAUAAUUAUAGGAAUAGCAGAGGGAUUGGUGUACCUCCAUGAGAAAGCACACACAAAAAUCAUCCACAGAGACAUAAAAGCGAGCAAUAUACUAUUAGAUUCCAAAUUAUAUGCUAAAAUCGCAGAUUUUGGGCUGGUUAGAUCUUUCAAUGAAGAUAAAAGCCACAUCAGCACCGCCAUUGCCGGAACUUUGUAAGUAUCUUCAUAAUUUUAUUUUAAUUUUUCGAAUCCAAAAAGAUACUCUCUCUGUUCACAAAAAAAUUAUCACAUUGAGAGCAAUGCAAAUUUUAAUAAAAUGUGAUUAAAGUUGUUAGUGAAGUAAGGGCCGCACUUGACACUUUAAGUGUGAGUGGAGUUGUGAGGACCCCACUACUAUAAAUGAAAGUGACAAAUUUUUCGUAGAUGAAAAUAGUGAAAAAUAGUCACUCUCGAUAAUGAAAUGUCAGGGGAUACUUGGCCCCUGAGUACCUCGCCCGAGGACAAUUGACUGAGAAAGUGGAUGUUUAUAGCUUCGGCGUGCUUUUACUUGAGAUCGUCACCGGCACACAGAACAACGGAAGUCAGAACUCUGAGCUCGUAGACAGCAUGCUAACUCAAGUAAGUUUCUACUAUUUUUCCAUUUUCAUCAGUUCACAAAAUAUUUUUCUAUUAUCACUUUUUUUAAUUUAUGGGACCCCUUCUUUACUCACCAAAUACAUAACUAUUUUUUUAAAAAAAUAAUUCAUGUCGACUUCUAUUAAAAAGAUGUUUUGUGGAUGGAGGAAGUAUUAUUUAAUACUAUAUGAGUUAUGAGUUAUAGUUUAUGGUCUGACCUUUAAUACAGGUUUUCAAAAAUAAUAGUAUGACGUUUGGGGGAAGUUUCAAUCAACCCUAAUUUAAUUGAGGGUGAAUUACUAAAAUGUUUCAAAAGUAGUUCAAAUUUACAAAAUUUGAUUACAAGUGAAGAGAGUUUUCGAAAUUGGGCCCUUCCUGUUGUAGGUCGGGCCGGGCCAUGCUUUUUUAAGACCCAACUGUUUGUUUUUGGGCUACCAAUCUCCCUUGGGCCCGACUAGUCAAAAAGUGAUGAUUUAUUUGACAAUUAACUCUUGGAAUAAUAAUAAUAUCAUCAUUCAUCAACUACAAUUUCUAAUAUAUUUGUUAUAAUCCAGGCAUGGAGGCAUUUCGAGCAAAGAAUAAUUGAGGAGCUCAUUGAUCCAAACCUAAUGCUACAUGAUAAUAAUGAUAUAAAAAAUGAGAUCUUACGAGUCUUUCACGUAGGGCUAUUGUGUAGCCAAGAAGUGCCGUCGCGGCGGCCAUCCAUGUCCACGGCGUUGACGAUGCUGAUCGGGAAACAACACCUCCCGACACCGACGAGCCCUCCGUUCGUGGACGAGAUAACCAUGCAACUAUACGAGGAGGACCCGAGUCGGGGCACAUCGCCAAUGCUCGGUCAUAGCAAUACCACUAUAUCUCGGAGCAUUUUUCUUCCGAGAUAGUCGUGGACAGUAUACGCUAAAGAUUUCACUUCACUAAAAAAUGAUUAAUUAUUUGUUUUUUUUUUAAUUUUUUUAGAUGGGGUUCAACCUACCUCGGGUAUGCCAAUGGUAAUGACAUUGUGUUAUCGGGAGUUAAAACUAGAGAAGCAAAUCAUUUGGAAGUAAUAUUCGUAAAUAAUUACAACUAAUCUUUUAUGUACUUUAAUAAAAGAGACUUGUUUUAUAAAAAAAUAUGUUGCUUGUUAUGUUAUUAUGUUUUAAUCUAAUUCAAGGACAAUAAUGUAAUAUCAUAUUUUUAUUAAAUAAAUUACAAACCCCAAACCAAAAACAAAAUUUUGAGCCAGCCCCCUAAAUAUAUGCAAGAACAAAUACCCUCACACUCACGGUUAUUGAAUUGGCUUAGAUUGAUUUAAAUACAAGUUUUUUUAUAUGUAUUUAAUUUAACACACAAGUAUUGUAAGUUGUGAAUAAAUAUACGAAUUUAUAUGUUAUUUUAAUUUUUCCACAAUUUUAAAAUUCAUCUAAAUUAAAUUUGACUUGACAAUAUGAUGGUUGAAUAAACUUAAAGUUGAGCAAUCUUUACAUAUUCCAAUGUCCCAGUCAUCCAAGGUCAGCUCUUCC